UUUUCUUUUAUUUAACAUAUUUUAUGUUGCUUUUCUCGAACCGCAUUUUUUCCCCGUUGAUAACUUCUACAUUUUCCCUUUAUUACUGAUAAUAGUCAAUUUCUAAACUGGUUGUUUUAGAGAUUUAGGAUUGAAAGAGACGAGUAACGAAUACGUUGACAUAGAUUACAUUCAAUUAACAUAUUUCAGAUUUACGAGAUUCAAAUACAGAUACAUGCAUAACCAAAGUGGAGGCAGAUACUUUUGCCAGUGAUCACAGAAUGCCAUAUUGUGAAACUAGUGCACUUACUCAGAAAGGAUUGAAGUCCUGCUUUGAUAAAGCUGUAAGUUAUCGAUUACAAAGUUGAAGGGCAUACGAUACAGUUACAGGGGAGGCAAUGACGUUGCUAACGUAAAAUGUUAUUUUUGCGACGUCAAACUGUGACAUAUCGGAUAAAGAUGCAUUUUUCGACUGUUUUUUAUGAUUUAAAAUGAUUUAACUUGAAAACGAGUACAUGAACCCCUCUUUUUUAAAAAUUGCAUUAGGUUUGAUUACGUAUGAAAAUUAUUUGAACCAAUUUUUACGAAAAAGUAAACAUUGAAUUUUUUUUAAAUUUGAUAAAAAUAACACAAAAAAUGCCGUUUUUUCCCUUAAUUCCUGAAACUUUGUUAAAAAUUAGUUAUUUCCAAAGAAAUGUUGUACAUGUUAAGAGCAUAUUUAUGUGAAGAAGAUUUUCAUAAUGUUUCGACAAAAAUCUGCUUGUGUUUAUUUGUUGAAAUAAAAAAGUAAGGUGUGUCUAUCCAAAGGAUAGAAAUGUCCAAAAAAACGAAAUUUUUUAGUAAAAGUCUCAAAUGUCGACCCCUUUUAUUUCUUAAAGUAGCACAUGAAGGUAUUUUUUAUUACAUAUUUGAAAUGGUUAGGUGAACAAAAGCUUGUAUGCAAAUUUUCGCUAAACAAUCAUCAUGGGAUUGAAACUGUAUCGUAUACCCUUUAACUCAUGUUUUGACCGAAAAUGGAAAUGACGCGAGAAUACCGGAAACUAUAACCCUGUCUAAACAUCCGGCCUCGCUCCUUUUGGAGAUCAUGCGAUUCCUCUAGAUUUUGUUAUUUUACCUUGAUUUGUAUCAUUUGGAAGGAUUUAUGAGAUUUGAAGAUAGGUAAAAAACCUAUUGUAUGAAUAUUGAACAGCGGUAUAUAUACUACUUUUACCUUUAUCAAGUACUGAAAUACACAACACUGUAUCACUAAAGUAUGUUAGAGUGUCUGGAUUGGUUGUCUUUCAUUCCUGUAUUAUUAAUCUUUUGGGUGUCUUUUCUCUAUUAUUAGUUAUACAUUUAUAUUUGUUUUACUAAUAUUUCCUAUUAUUUAUAUUUUUGCACUUCAUUUGUUCUCUAUUCUUAAUAUUUUAACACGGUAUUUCUCCAUUCUUCAUAAUUUGAUUCCACUUUAUCCUUUUUUAAUUAUUUUGUUCUAUUUCUUGUACAUUUGAUCAAUUAUUCUCUAUGUUGUAAACCCAAUCCCAUCCCUUACGUUAAUAUGAUAAUGUAAAUAUGAACAACAUGACAAUAAAAGUUCCUACUAACACUCUAUCAUGAAACAUGUUAGAUAGGCUAUGCUUUGCUUCGAUUUUACAACGGAACUUCCCAGAUGUAGCAUCUGUUAUUUAUUUGCUCGCAUGGGCAUAAUUACAUGCAAAAACCAAAAUUAAAUUUAAUUCUGGAUUACCGAAAAAGUGAGAAAGAUAUCUAAGGACCGUUAAAAAUAUAAGUAAAAAAAAACCAAACAAACAACAAGUAUUAGCGUUGCUGAAAAUUAAAACGAGAAAAAUACAGUCAACAAUAACAAAACAUUUCAUAAACAACAACAAACUGAGCAACACGAACUAAAUCUUUAACCUUGGGCGAACAACGAUGCUAUGGAAGGGUAGUUCCUGCUCCACAUAUGGUACGAUGUUAUUGUAGUUGCGUGUUUGCCUUGGGUGCAUGAGGUCCCGUGUUCUAAACUCGCCGGGUCAAUCAAACGACUGUACUGCUCCUCUACUAAGCACGCAACAUGAAUGAAAAAGACAAAAAAGAUUGUUCAAUUCGGAGUCAAAAUACAGUGUCCGUGUAGGGUUCUUUCUACCGACUGUUUCCUUAUAAACUAGCAUGCUAUAAUCUAGCUCAUCAUGUCGGUCUAGUACGAAGCAUGAUACGAAUUAAUAUUAAAUAUCUCGUUGUCGUCCUGAAUGUGGUCUGUAUAUUUUAUUCCGCGCUGGAUGUCAAACAGACUUCAAUAAAUCAUCAUAAUUGAAAGUGUUGUUAAACACCAACAGUCAGUAAAUCUAUGAGUUUUAGAUUUGCGCUCACACUCUCAAUUUUAAGCAGUUGAUUCAACUUUGAACGGAUUUAAUAACAGUAAACUUGCUAAAAAAAACCAACACAAACGAAAUAAAAAAAACUUAAUACAUGAUGUAAAGGUAUUCACCACAGUCAAAGUACUAGCAUCGUGUUCACAGGUAUUAUAAUUUAAAAUCCAUUAUCUCACUAAAUCUUUGAGAAAAGUACUGCUAUUGUCUUCCCGUACUCUAAUUUUCAGAUAGCUUUUCUGUACACGUUAACCUUUACCACGUGAGCUCUUCUUACUAAUUCGGCUACUGAAAAGCGCAAGUGCGCCAGAAACCUGGAAUGAAAGAACAAAUUAUCAAACAUGAACAAACGUGGAAGUAAUACAGUGUUAAUAGAUUUUGAAAGAAAAAACAAUAAUGCAAUAACACUUUUUAAAACUAAUUACAACGUUGAAUUGAUAUAAACAAACAAAUGGAAGAAAUAUAUACAAAAAUCAAACAACGAUCGACAACAUCGUCUGUCAGCUCACUUAUUUUUCACAUGCUCCUUGAUUCUAUGUUGAUUUCGUUAAUGGUGCGUUCGGUUAACUUCGGCAAAAAUAAACAUCAGAGGUAAGUAUAAAUUAACAGUGAAAUGGUUUUUACUCAAUGAAAUAUUUUUAUUGAUUAUAUCAUGCAAACGUUAUAAUGCAAACAUUGUACAUAGAAAACUUUGUAAAAUAUAUACUUGCAUUGUUUCGAUUAUAACCUUAACAUUAUAGAUUCAAGAAACUACAGAUAUCAUAUCAAUUCAAUCAUCAUUUUAUUUCAGUUAAGGGAAAGCUGUAGAGUAGUUGAAAGAAAGUGGUUUCAGAAGAGAUAAGCAAACAAUUGAUGACACUUUUGUGCAAUAAAUAGAAUAAAUAAAGCCGGAGAAUAUACUUUUGCAUUCAUUUCAAUGAUCCAGUUUGUUGUUAACAUGAUAAUAAAGAACCCCUGUAAUACAAGUUAUCGUUGUAUGCUUUUCUUA
RNAcentral lists this long non-coding RNA (3315 nucleotides) under Mytilus galloprovincialis (Mediterranean mussel). Lineage: Eukaryota; Metazoa; Mollusca; Bivalvia; Mytilida; Mytilidae. The record is from RNAcentral.